UACGUAGGGUGCAAGCGUUGUCCGGAAUUAUUGGGCGUAAAGAGCUCGUAGGCGGCUUGUCGCGUCGGCUGUGAAAACCUGGGGCUCAACCCCGGGCCUGCAGCCGAUACGGGCAGACUAGAGUUCGGUAGGGGAGUCUGGAAUUCCUGGUGUAGCGGUGAAAUGCGCAGAUAUCAGGAGGAACACCGGUGGCGAAGGCGGGUCUCUGGGCCGUUACUGACGCUGAGGAGCGAAAGCGUGGGGAGCGAACAGG
This 253-nucleotide ribosomal RNA is filed under the name uncultured bacterium. RNAcentral's name for it is "partial 16S ribosomal RNA". It matches the Rfam family "Bacterial small subunit ribosomal RNA", at positions 524 to 776 of the family's 1533-position model. The record is from RNAcentral.